AUCAGGUGUCGCAAGACUCAAUAGAGAAGCCGGUUUUAGUCCGGCGCGGUCCCGCCACUGUAUCAGCGAGUGCUGCUGCAACAAACGUCACUGGAGAUGGAAAAGCGUCUCUGGGAAGGCGCAGCAGCACGAUGACCUGGAGCCAGGAGAACUGCCUGAUCGA
RNAcentral lists this non-coding RNA (163 nucleotides) under uncultured Selenomonas sp. Lineage: Bacteria; Bacillati; Bacillota; Negativicutes; Selenomonadales; Selenomonadaceae. The record is from RNAcentral.